ACAACGGAGAGUUUGAUCCUGGCUCAGGACGAACGCUGGCGGCGUGCUUAACACAUGCAAGUCUAGGGGAAAGUUUUCUUCGGAGAAUGAGUACACUGGCGCACGGGUGAGUAAUAUAUAAGUAACCUACCUUGUGGAUUGGAAUAACGUAGAGAAAUUUGCGCUAAUACCGAAUGAUGCAGCGGCACCGCAUGGUGAUGUUGUUAAAGUCAUUUAUGGCGCCACAAGAUGGGCUUGUAUUCGAUUAGCUAGUUGGUGGGGUAAUAGCCCACCAAGGCAACGAUCGAUAGCUGGUCUGAGAGGAUGAUCAGCCACACUGGAACUGAGACACGGUCCAGACUCCUACGGGAGGCAGCAGUGAGGAAUAUUGGGCAAUGCCCGCAAGGGUGACCCAGCAACGCCGCGUGGAGGAUGAAUGCCGUAAGGUU
RNAcentral lists this ribosomal RNA (428 nucleotides) under Melioribacteraceae bacterium. RNAcentral describes it as "bacterial SSU rRNA". It matches the Rfam family "Bacterial small subunit ribosomal RNA", at positions 1 to 424 of the family's 1533-position model. Lineage: Bacteria; Pseudomonadati; Ignavibacteriota; Ignavibacteria; Ignavibacteriales; Melioribacteraceae. The record is from RNAcentral.